UUUCUGAUUUGGUCCUAUUAUUAUUAUUAUAAUCUACAUCAAAGGGGCAAUUUUGUCAUUUCAAUCCACACUAACAGUAAAUUAUGUCCAAACUUAGGACUAAUUAGGGACUGCCCUGUAGAUUUUGAUAACUAUCAGAUCAACAUGAACUUCUCGAUAAUCAUGGAUUAUUAACUAAUAUCCAUUUCACUGAAAUCACUAUCGCAUGCGGAAGGAUAAGAAAAGGGGGUAAAAAAGGAGAAAAUUAUACUCUGCAACUGCAAGCAAUGAACAAUGAAUAAAAGAAA
This 287-nucleotide unclassified non-coding RNA is filed under the name Hevea brasiliensis (rubber tree). Lineage: Eukaryota; Viridiplantae; Streptophyta; Magnoliopsida; Malpighiales; Euphorbiaceae. The record is from RNAcentral.